This 3345-nucleotide long non-coding RNA is filed under the name Malus domestica (apple). Its description in RNAcentral is "long non-coding RNA (MDOM_LNC011617)". The record is from RNAcentral. Lineage: Eukaryota; Viridiplantae; Streptophyta; Magnoliopsida; Rosales; Rosaceae.
UGUCUGUAUAGCUUAUUAACUUAUUUAUUUUACCUACAAGAGAACAAAAAUGGAAGUAAAGAGAAAGAUUUAGACAAAAAUGUGUUUCACUUUUCUUAUCAACUAAAUCUAGGUAUGCUUAGACUGUGUAGUAAUUAACAUAUUAAUAUUGGUUCUCGAGUUGUAUAUACUGUAUAUUCACGAGCUUUUUAAAAAAAAACGUUAAUCUGUACAUGUGAUUUUGGUUUUGGUUUUGGCCAAAUAGGUGCUGGAUGGUUCCCAGAUAACUGCAGAACAAUACGAGCUUAUGAAGGAUCAUAUAUUACCCCUAGGCCGAGCACCCGAAUUCUCAGCUCAGAGUGGUGCUUAAUGGAAAGGAAGGUUUGACUUCAAAUUCUCCACUCGUAGUUGUAUUGAUCGUAGACUUGAAAGCUGUUGCCUGCAGAAGUAGCAGUUGGGAGAACCCUUGUUUUCGAAACUGACUGGAGAAAACCAUCCACCGCUGACUCUUUCAGCGCUGGAAGAACGAUGUUGAAAGUCCGAAGCUUCAUUGUACAUGUUUUCGGAACAUUGAUCGGACUGAAAAUGUUAAGACUUACCAUUUUUCACUUCCUUUGGUAAUCUAUACAAAUGCUUGCUGCAAAGCUACGUACCAGAAUAGGAUGGAGAGAUGGUCUCUAGAGUUUUCUGUUUUCCUUGGUUUUGAGUCAUAUUCUAAUCUUAUCGAAAUUACGUAGAUGGAGAUUUGAACGUGAGUGCAGAUGGGACGAGCACAUUGUUCUAGUCAAGUAUUCAAAUCUUAUGCGCUCAUUUUGUGUGUGGCCUCUAUCAUUGGUAAACACGUGUUAACUUUGAUUUUUUUCCAUAAAUUUAACUUAUGUCAAUCAAUGAUAGAUUUCAGGCCACACACAAAAUAACUGUAAAAGAUUUGAACUCGAAAAUUUGAACCUGGCUGGAGACAUAAUAUGGUUUUAGUCAACUUGACUUUGUCUAUGUCAGCUCUCUAGAAAGUCUUAUUGAAGUGUAUUAUUGAAGGGAUUAGGAUAAGGAGUUGAUAUUAUCUUAAUUAAUUUUGACUAAUAGGCAUCAAAGCGUGUCUUUGUUUUGGACACGUGGCUGGUCUGAAAGUGGUAAAGUAAGAAGUUGUUAAGAGUCAAUUCAGUGGAGGAUGAUGGGCUUUGUUGGGCCUUCUCUUUUACCGGCAAAGUAUAUUCGCAUGUUGGACUAUUAGUCUGGGCGCCCACCUCAAAAAGACAGAAAUACCCUCCUAAACAUUUGUUUUAUCAAACAUUUUAAUCUAAUCAUCUGAUUUUUAUUUUUAUUUAUUUUUUUUUCAAUUUUCAAAAAGGGGGACAAAUGGUAGCAAGUCAUGGUUAUCUACCUCUUUCGGGGGCUAGGAAGACUUACAGAGACAUUUCAGCCUCUCCUUAGCCACAAGUCUGACUUUCAGACUAGCAACGGGUUUCGAACCCGAAACCUCCAGUCUUUAAUUUUAAGGAAGCUUCGUAAUCCGUCAUUUACCAUUGGACCACCAACGCGUGGUUAAUCUAAUCAUCUGAUUAAGCAAUUGGAUGUUGUAUUUCAGAGGUCCACAAUAAAGAUACAAAGGGCUAAAUUCCAAUUAUAUCUUGACAUUUUUUAAAAUUGUUAUUAGCACUAUAAAAUGAUUUUGCACUCUAAACUUAUGAUAUUUAAAAAGAAAAAUAUACUUGUGAAGAAUGCAAAAUGAGAUUUUUUGAGUGCCACUAACAGUUCUUUUUUUUUUUAAACAAAAGAAAGUUUACCUAUAACAACAUAGGCGGAUCUUUAUACAAUUCAUAUCAAACUUAAACUUAGGUUGUAUUUUGGAGAAUUAUUAAACCAAAUGAUUACAACGUUGUUCUAAAAUAGCAACCAUAUAUUAUUGUGUUUGUUUCUCUAUAAGUAAUUUAGAAAAUGAGAGUAUGAGUGACUGCCAAAAAAGUUCAAAUUGCAUGUUUGAGACCAAUGUGCGCAUCACUUAAGGGUAAAACGUUGGAGCGUAAUUUUAUGACUCAACUACUUCAAUGUGAGAUAUCAUAUUCAACUUACUUACAUGACUAUUAUGAUAAUUAUUAUAGCAAACUAUGGUGCGAUCAGAUCCAAAUUUUCCAUUGUCAAUGUAGAUAAAAAGAGGCGAUGCUACUUACACACUUCUUUUUAUUAUUCACACAUUCUCUCAAUUUUUAAUGAUCAUAUCAAAUGAUAUGAAGUAUAUUAAAUGACAGAAAUUAACAGAAAAUAUGUGAGAGUAAAAAUAAACGAGUGGAAAACACUAUUAUAAAAUUAUUUUUGGGGAAACUAACAUGUGAAAGUGUGGGUGAAAAAGUUGCCAGAUAUCAAUAUCUUUCACAAUUUGGUAGUUCCCUUCCCUUCCUUUCUGAAACUCCACAUAUAGAGAUAAAAAAACAACCCAAUUAAAAAGCAAGUUUGAAUGGUCAAAAGAAAAGGCCACUGGCUUCUCAUUUGUCAUGAGAGUUUUCAUUAUUUAUUUAUUUUUUAAAUAAACUUGUUUUUCGUUUGGAAUUUUAGAUCAUCUACAAAAAGAGAUGUCAAAUUUUGACAGCUUAUGUAGCAUUUUGACAUCUUUUAAAAUUUGUUAUCCAAUUAAUAUGUCAAAUUAAAUUAUUAUUUUAUAAAAUAAAUUGUUAAACUAAUUAAAAUUUAAAGUUUAAUAUGUUAUAUGUUCACCUUCCUUGAUUGAAAAGAAGAAAAAAAGUAUGAUAGUUAGCAUCGGUCAACACAACAUUAAUUAUAAUAAUUGAUUAAAUUAAUUAAAAAUUAAUAAAAUACAUUUAAUAAUUAAUUAAAAACGUUUGAAGCUGCUGUCAAAUUUGACUGCAAUCUUUUUUGUUAUCAAUCCAUAUUAUUGCCACAUAUAAUUUGACACUUCGAUUGUAGAAUAUUAGUUUGGUCUUUUUUUACUGUUAUAGCUGAUAUGUACAUUUUAGCAUUUCUUUCAGAUAUGCUUUUAAAAUAAACUUUUUAUAAAUUUGUAGAAUUAUUAAUAAAUUAAAAAAAAAAAAAAAAAAAAGUAGGAGCCAAUAAUAUAAAAGGGUUAUACUUUGACCGUACUGUGUUCCCAGCGCAUCACAGCCACCACCACCACCACACAAAAAAAAGCAAACAUAAACAAAACAAACAAACACUCAAAUCCAAAAGAAGAAACAAACCUAGAUCUUCUUUGUCUCUGAUCGUGGAUCUACGCCUCUGAUUCAACCUCAGGCCCUCCGUUUUCCAGAUGAUCUUCCCUUGAUCUUCGCCAAUUUCUGCUUCGUCGGUACAAGUUUCUUCCUCUGACUCUCUUCUCAUUUAAAGUUACCAUUUUUUUUCUGUGAUAUAUUGUGG